RNAcentral lists this ribosomal RNA (253 nucleotides) under uncultured bacterium. RNAcentral's name for it is "partial 16S ribosomal RNA". It matches the Rfam family "Bacterial small subunit ribosomal RNA", at positions 524 to 776 of the family's 1533-position model. The record is from RNAcentral.
UACGUAGGUGGCAAGCGUUGUCCGGAUUUAUUGGGUUUAAAGGGAGCGUAGGUGGGUUGGUAAGUCAGUGGUGAAAUCCCCGAGCUUAACUUGGGAACUGCCAUUGAUACUAUCAGUCUUGAAUACUGUGGAGGUUAGCGGAAUAUGUCAUGUAGCGGUGAAAUGCUUAGAUAUGACAUAGAACACCAAUUGCGAAGGCAGCUGGCUACACAAUUAUUGACACUGAGGCUCGAAAGCGUGGGGAUCAAACAGG